GGUAGAUGUAGGGGUAUUAGGUAGAUGUAGUUGUGUAGGGGUAUUAGGUAGAUGUAGGGGUGUAGGGGUAUUAGGUAGAUGUAGUUGUGUAGGGGUAUUAGGUCGAUGUAAUGGUGUAGGGGUAUUAGGUAGAUGUAGUUGUGUUUGUGGUAUUAGGUAGAUGUAGUGUUAUUAUGUAGAUGUAGUUGUGUAGGGGUAAUAGGUAGAUGUAGUGGUGUAGGGGUAUUAGGUAGAUGUAGGGGUGUAGGGGUAUUAGGUAGAUGUAGUGAUGUAGAGGUAUUAGGUAGAUGUAGGGGUAUUAGGUAGAUGUAGUGGUGUUGGGUAUUAGGUAGAUGUACUGGUGUAGGGGUUUUAGGUAGAUGUAGGGGUAUUAGGUAGAUGUAAGGCUGUAGGGGUAUUAGUUAGAUGUAGUUGUGUUUGUGGUAUUAGGUAGAUGUAGUGGUGUAGGGGUAUUAGGUAAAUGUAGGAGUGUAGGGGUGUUAGGUAGAUGUAGUGGUGUAGGGGUAUUAGGUAGAUGUAGUGGUGUAGAGGUAUUCGGUAGAUGUAGUGGUGUAGGGGUAUUAGGUAGAUGUAGGGUUGUAGGGGUAUUAGGUAGAUGUAGUUGUGUUUGUGGUAUUAGGUAGAUGUAAGGGUGUAGGGAUAUUAGGCAAAUGUAGUGGUGUAGGGGUAUUAGGCAGUUGUAGGGGUAUUAGGUUGAUGUACUGGUGUUGGGGUAUUAGGUAGAUGUAGGGGUAUUAGGAAGUUGAAGGGUAUAGAGGAAUUAAGUAGAUGAAGUGGUGUAGGGGUAUAAGGUAGAUGAAGGGGUGUAGGGGUAUUAGGUAGAUGUAGUUGUGUAGGGGUAUUAGGUAGAUGUAGUGGUGUAGGGGUAUUAGGUAGAGGUAGUGAUGUAGGGGUAUUAGGUAGAGGUAGUUAUGUAGGGGUAUUAGUUAGAUGUAGUGAUGUAGGGGUAUUAGGUAGAAGUACUGAUGUACGGGUAUUAGGUAGAGGUAGUGAUGUGCGGGUAUUAGGUAGAGGUAGUGAUGUAGGGGUAUUAGGUAGAGGUAGUGGUGUAGGGGUAUUAUGUAGAUGUAGUGGUGUAGGGGUAUUAGGUAGAUGUAGUGGUGUAGGGUUAUUAGGUAGAGGUAGUGAUGUAGGGGUAUUAGGUAGAUGUAGUGAUGUAAGGGUAUUAGGUAGAUGUAGUGAAUUGGGGGUAUUAGGUAGAGGUAGUGAUGUAGGGGUAUUAGGUAGAGGUAGUGAUGUAGGGGUAUUAGGUAGAGGUAGUGAUGUAGAGGUAUUAGGUAGAUGUAGUGAUGUAGGGGUAUUAGGUAGAGGUAGUGAUGUAGGGGUAUUAGGUAGAGGUAGUGAUGUAAGGGUAUUAGGUAGAUGUAGUGAUGUAGGGGUAUUAGGUAGAGGUAGUGAUGUAGGGGUAUUAGGUAGAGGUAGUGAUGUAGGGGUAUUAGGUAGAUGUAGUGAUGUAGGGUUAUAAGGUAGAGGUAGUGAUGUAGGGGUAUUAGGUAGAGGUAGUGAUGUAGGGGUAUUACGUAGAUGUAGUGAUGUAGGGGUAUUAGGUAGAGGUAGUUAUGUAGGGGUAUUAGGUAGAUGUAGUGAAUUAGGGGUAUUAGGUAGAGGUAGUGAUGUAGGGGUAUUAGGUAGAGGUAGUGAUGUAGGGGUAUUAGGUAGAGGUAGUGAUGUAGGGGUAUUAGGUAGAGGUAGUGAUGUAGGGGUAUUAGGUAGAUGUAGUGAUGUAAGGGUAUUAGGUAGAGGUAGUGAUGUAAGGCUAUUAGGAAGAUGUAGUGAUGUAGGGGUAUUAGGUAGAUGUAGUGAUGUAGG
Molecule: long non-coding RNA, 1809 nt
Filed under: Salmo salar (Atlantic salmon)
Lineage: Eukaryota; Metazoa; Chordata; Actinopteri; Salmoniformes; Salmonidae
Description: lncRNA (ENSSSAG00000090560.1)
Source: RNAcentral